AUACUGGCCCCCAAAUCUUCGCU
RNAcentral lists this microRNA (23 nucleotides) under Caenorhabditis elegans. RNAcentral describes it as "Cel-Mir-193-P1-v1_3p (mature (guide))". The record is from RNAcentral. Lineage: Eukaryota; Metazoa; Nematoda; Chromadorea; Rhabditida; Rhabditidae.